This 435-nucleotide ribosomal RNA is filed under the name uncultured bacterium. RNAcentral describes it as "bacterial SSU rRNA". It matches the Rfam family "Bacterial small subunit ribosomal RNA", at positions 28 to 458 of the family's 1533-position model. The record is from RNAcentral.
GACGAACGCUGGCGGCGCGCCUAACACAUGCAAGUCGAACGGAGCUUAGAGAGCUUGCUUUUUAAGCUUAGUGGCGAACGGGUGAGUAACGCGUGAGUAACCUGCCCUAGAGUGGGGGACAACAGUUGGAAACGACUGCUAAUACCGCAUAAGCCCACGGUACCGCAUGGUACUGAGGGAAAAGGAUUUAUUCGCUUUAGGAUGGACUCGCGUCCAAUUAGCUAGUUGGUGAGGUAACGGCCCACCAAGGCGACGAUUGGUAGCCGGACUGAGAGGUUGAACGGCCACAUUGGGAUUGAGACACGGCCCAGACUCCUACGGGAGGCAGCAGUGGGGGAUAUUGCACAAUGGGGGAAACCCUGAUGCAGCGACGCCGCGUGGAGGAAGAAGGUUUUCGGAUUGUAAACUCCUGUCGUUAGGGACGAUAAUGACGGU